AACGAACGCUGGCGGCAUGCCUAACACAUGCAAGUCGAACGAGACCUUCGGGUCUAGUGGCGCACGGGUGCGUAACGCGUGGGAACCUGCCCUUAGGUUCGGAAUAACUCCCCGAAAGGGGUGCUAAUACCGGAUAAUGUCUUCGGCCCAAAGAUUUAUCGCCUUUGGAUGGGCCCGCGUUGGAUUAGCUAGUUGGUAGGGUAAAAGCCUACCAAGGCGACGAUCCAUAGCUGGUCUGAGAGGAUGAUCAGCCACACUGGGACUGAGACACGGCCCAGACUCCUACGGGAGGCAGCAGUGGGGAAUAUUGGACAAUGGGCGAAAGCCUGAUCCAGCAAGGCCGCGGGAGUGAUGAAGGCCUUAGGGUUGUAAAGCUCUUUUACCCGGGAUGAUAAUGACAGUACCGGGAGAAUAAGCUCCGGCUAACUCCGU
RNAcentral lists this ribosomal RNA (432 nucleotides) under uncultured bacterium. Its description in RNAcentral is "partial 16S ribosomal RNA". It matches the Rfam family "Bacterial small subunit ribosomal RNA", at positions 29 to 506 of the family's 1533-position model. The record is from RNAcentral.